GAUGAACGCUGGCGGCGUGCCUAAUACAUGCAAGUCGAGCGAACGGACGAGAAGCUUGCUUCUCUGACGUUAGCGGCGGACGGGUGAGUAACACGUGGAUAACCUACCUAUAAGACUGGGAUAACUUCGGGAAACCGGAGCUAAUACCGGAUAAUAUAUUGAACCGCAUGGUUCAAAAGUGAAAGACGGUCUUGCUGUCACUUAUAGAUGGAUCCGCGCUGCAUUAGCUAGUUGGUAAGGUAACGGCUUACCAAGGCAACGAUGCGUAGCCGACCUGAGAGGGUGAUCGGCCACACUGGAACUGAGACACGGUCCAGACUCCUACGGGAGGCAGCAGUAGGGAAUCUUCCGCAAUGGGCGAAAGCCUGACGGAGCAACGCCGCGUGAGUGAUGAAGGUCUUCGGAUCGUAAAACUCUGUUAUUAGGGAAGAACAUAUGUGUAAGUAACUGUGCACAUCUUGACGGUACCUAAUCAGAAAGCCACGGCUAACUACGUG
RNAcentral lists this ribosomal RNA (497 nucleotides) under uncultured bacterium. RNAcentral describes it as "partial 16S ribosomal RNA". It matches the Rfam family "Bacterial small subunit ribosomal RNA", at positions 28 to 507 of the family's 1533-position model. The record is from RNAcentral.